CUUAGUUGAGUUGAGUUAAGUUGUCUUUUUCUAUAACACAUAAUGGCUCAAGUAAAAUCAAAACCUUUAGUCACCUACUAGUACCAUCCCCAAGAGUAUUAAGUUUAACUUGGAUUGCAUGUAUAGUGAGCCCAAUCUCAUCUAGGAAUCAAUUCAGGAUGCACAUCCGCUUCAGAAGCUUUUGGCUCACAGAUGCAUUCUUGAAGGAUUACUAUUUGUACUCAUCUUGCCAUUCAAGGCCUAUCUCUGUUUAAUACUGUUAUAGUUAUUAUUUCUGAAUUAGUAUAGUGGGAAAAUAUAUGUGCGUACUCAUUUUUGUCCAUUGUUGAGAAUUAUUUAAAAGUUUGGUUAAUUGAUGUGAAAUAUUGAAUUUUUUUUCUCUCAGG
RNAcentral lists this unclassified non-coding RNA (386 nucleotides) under Hevea brasiliensis (rubber tree). The record is from RNAcentral. Lineage: Eukaryota; Viridiplantae; Streptophyta; Magnoliopsida; Malpighiales; Euphorbiaceae.